Molecule: non-coding RNA, 78 nt
Organism: Mycena alexandri
Lineage: Eukaryota; Fungi; Basidiomycota; Agaricomycetes; Agaricales; Mycenaceae
Source: the annotation of a GenBank genome assembly
GUGCUCCUGGUGUAAUGGUAACACACACGCCCUUUCGUUUAAAAGGGGUGGUCCUGGGCUCGACUCUCGGGGGGCGCC